CCCUUAGAUGUCCGGGGCCGCACGCGCGCUACACUGAUGCAUUCAACGAGUCUAAAACCUGCUCUGAUAGGGGUGGGUAAUCUUUUGAAUGUGCAUCGUGAUUGGGAUAGAUGAUUGAAAUUUUUCAUCUUCAACGAGGAAUGCCUAGUAAACGCAAGUCAUCAGCUUGCAUUGAUUACGUCCCUGCCCUUUGUACACACCGCCCGUCGCUCCUACCGAUUGAAUGAUCCGAUGAAUAUCAUGGAUUGAGGAUGCAAGUAGGUUCACCUAUCUUCAUCUUCGAGAAGUGAAGUAAAUCUUAUCAUUUAGAGGAAGGAGAAGUCGUAACA
This 329-nucleotide ribosomal RNA is filed under the name uncultured eukaryote. RNAcentral describes it as "partial 18S ribosomal RNA". It matches the Rfam family "Eukaryotic small subunit ribosomal RNA", at positions 1470 to 1796 of the family's 1831-position model. The record is from RNAcentral.